Long non-coding RNA from Hypanus sabinus (Atlantic stingray), 2617 nucleotides. RefSeq lists it as uncharacterized. The record is from RefSeq and is a predicted model, not a curated record. NCBI's taxonomy places the organism in Eukaryota, Metazoa, Chordata, Chondrichthyes, Myliobatiformes, Dasyatidae. The transcript has 3 exons.
UAUCGUGGCUGCAGUGUGCACAAUCCACAAAUGCUGAUGACACUGUCAUAGGCCAAAGCAGGGGGAGCUUACAGGUAGGAGAUUGAAAAUCUGGCUGAGAGGAGUCAUAACCUCUCACUCACUGUCAGCAAGACCAAAGGACCAAUUAUUGAUUUCAGGAGAGAGAAAACAGAAGUCCCUGAGCCAGUCUUCAUUGGAGGAUCAGAGGUGAAGAGGAAAAUCUGCAGAUGCUGGAAAUUUUGAGCAACACACACAAAAUGCUGGAGGAGCUCAACAGGCCAGGCAGCAUCCAUGGAAAAAAGUAAACAGCCGAUGCUUCAGGCCGGGACCCUUCAGCAGGACCAAUGUAUCGGUAUCAGCGGUCGCAUAACCAGGACUUGUGAUGGCUCCACGGUUUCGCGUCACCCUGAUCUGCGGGGAUUGACUCAAAUUUUCCAGUUCUUCUUCUGCCUGUUGGGUGACGGGGUGGAGAUGCUUCUCUACCAGAUGAACUCAAUGCCUUCUAUGCCGGCUUUGAAAGGGAGAAUAUAACUACAGCUGUGAAGAUUCCUGCUGCACCUGAUGACCCUGUGAUCUCUGUCUCAGAGGCCGAUGUUAGGCUGUCUUUAAAGAGAGUGAACCCUCACAAGGUGGAAGGUCCUGCUGGACAUCCUGGUAAGGCUCUGAAAACCUGUGUAAACCAACUGGUGGGAAUAUUCAAGGACAUUUUCAACCUCUCACUGCUACAAGUGGAAGUUCCCACUUGCUUUAAAAAGGCAACAAUACCAGUGCUUAAGAAUAAUGUGAGCUACCUUAAUGACUACCACCUGGUGGCACCCACUGCUCUACUCUCUCUAUACCCAUCACUGUGCGACUGGGCAUAGUUCAAAUACCAUCUAUAAAUUUGCUGAUGAUACAACCAUUGUUGGCAGAAUCUCAGAUGGUGACGAGAUAGCGUACAGGAGUGAGAUAUGCCGACUAGUGGAGUGGUGUCAUAGCAAUAACCUGGCACUCAACGUCAGUAAGACGAAAGAAUCAGAAUAAGAAAAAGAAUCAGAAAGACGCUUUGCAAUUCGCCUACCGGAGCGACAGGUCAACGGCAGAUGCCAUUUCUCUGGCUCUACAUUCCUCCUUAGAACACCUGGAGAAUAAAUAUGCAUAUGUAAGGCUCCUUUUCAUGACUACAGCUCUGCCUUUGAUACCAUCAUUCCAAAUAAACUGAUUCCUAAGCUCCGGAACCUGGGUCUUAGCACUCAGAUCUGCAGCUGGAUCUUCAACUUCCUCACAGACAGGACCCAGGCUGUAAAAAUAGGGGACAAGCUCUCCUCUACAAUCACUCUGAGCACUGGUGCCCCACAAGGCUGUGUACUCAGCCCCCUGCUGUACUCACUGUACACCCAUGAUUGUGUAGCCAAGUUUCCAUCAAACUCAAUAUACAAGUUUGCUGAUGACACCACAAUUGUUGGCCGUAUCUUGGGUAAUGAUGAGUCUGAGUACAGAGAGGAAAUUAAGAACCUGGUGGCAUGGUGCGAAGACAAUAACCUAUCCCUCAACGUCAGCAAGACGAAGGAAUUGGUUGUUGACUUCAGAAGGAGUAGCAAACUGCACGACCCCAUCUACAUCGGUGGUGCGCAGGUGAAACAGGUCAAAAGCUUUAAGUUCCUCGGGGUGAAUAUCACAAAUGACCUGACUUGGUCUAACCAAGCAGAGUCCACUGCCAAGAAGGCCCACCAGCACCUUUACUUCUUGUGAAAGCUGAAGAAAUUUGGCCUGUCCCCUAAAACCCUCACUAAUUUUUAUAGAUGCACCGUAGAAAGCAUUCUUCUAGGGUGCAUCACAACCUGGUAUGGAAGUUGUCCCGUCCAAGACUGGAAGAAGCUGCAGAAGAUUGUGAACUCGGCCCAGCACAUCACACAAACCAAUCUUCCAUCCUUGGACUCACUUUACACCGCACGCUGUCCGAGCAGUGCUGCCAGGAUAAUCAAGGACACGACCCACCCAGCCAACACACUUUUUGUCCCUCUUCCCUCUGGGAGAAGGUUCAGGAGCUUGAAGAUUCAUACGGCCAGAUUUGGUAACAGCUUCUUUCCAACUGUGAUAAGACUGCUGAAUGGAUCCUGACCCGGAUCUGGGCCAAACCUUCCAAAUAUCCAGACCUGACUUGCACUACCUUACUUUCCCUUUUCUAUUUUCUAAUUAUGAUUUAUAAUUUAAAUUUUUAUUACAUUUACUUUGAUUUGUACUUCAGGGAGCGCAAAGCGCAGAAUCAAAUAUCACUGUGAUGAUUGUACGCUCUAGUAUCAAUUGUUUUGGUGACAAUAAAGUACAAGAGCUGAUUGUGGACUUCAGGAAGGGUAAAACAAAGGAACACAUACCAAUCCUCAGAGUGAUCAGAAGUGGAGAGAGUGAGCAGUUUCAAGUUCCUGAGUGUCAACAUCUUUGAGGAUCUAACCUGGUCCCAACAUAUCAAUGCAGUUAUAAAAAAGGUAAGACAGUGGCUAUACUUCAUUAGGAGUUUGAAGAGAUUUGGCAUGUCAACAAAUAUACUCAAAAACUUCUACAGAUGUACCAUGGAGAGCAUUCUGACAGGCUGCAUCACUGUCUGGUAUGGGGGGGGGGAGGGGGGCUACUGCACAGG